AUUGAACGCUGGCGGCAGGCCUAACACAUGCAAGUCGAACGGUAACAGGAAGCAGCUUGCUGCUUUGCUGACGAGUGGCGGACGGGUGAGUAAUGUCUGGGAAACUGCCUGAUGGAGGGGGAUAACUACUGGAAACGGUAGCUAAUACCGCAUAACGUCGCAAGACCAAAGAGGGGGACCUUAGGGCCUCUUGCCAUCGGAUGUGCCCAGAUGGGAUUAGCUAGUAGGUGGGGUAACGGCUCACCUAGGCGACGAUCCCUAGCUGGUCUGAGAGGAUGACCAGCCACACUGGAACUGAGACACGGUCCAGACUCCUACGGGAGGCAGCAGUGGGGAAUAUUGCACAAUGGGCGCAAGCCUGAUGCGGCCAUGCCGCGUGUAUGAAGAAGGCCUUCGGGUUGUAAAGUACUUUCGGCGGGGAGGAAGGGAGUAAAGUUAAUACCUUUGCUCAUUGACGUUGCCCGCAGAAGAAGCACCGGCUAACUCCGUG
RNAcentral lists this ribosomal RNA (490 nucleotides) under uncultured bacterium. RNAcentral describes it as "partial 16S ribosomal RNA". It matches the Rfam family "Bacterial small subunit ribosomal RNA", at positions 30 to 507 of the family's 1533-position model. The record is from RNAcentral.